RNAcentral lists this long non-coding RNA (224 nucleotides) under Vigna radiata. Its description in RNAcentral is "long non-coding RNA (VRAD_LNC011311)". The record is from RNAcentral. Lineage: Eukaryota; Viridiplantae; Streptophyta; Magnoliopsida; Fabales; Fabaceae.
CGGAACAUUAAUUACAUGCACCAACCUGUUAGGCCAUAGACGUCGAUACUCAGCUACUCGACGUCUACAUGGCGACUAUUCACCUUCCUGGCACAACUACAUACGUUUUUGGUUCCUUGGCGACGUCUAAAGACAUAUAUAGACAUCGGUAUGGUCGUAUCCGACGUCCAUAUGGCGACUAUUCACCUUCCUGCAGACCUUUUAGACGUCCAUGUGGAGUGUGC